UCCUGGUUAACCCAGGCAGUCUCAUUAGAGUUCCCACCUUAAAUGUUGGCAACUAAUGAUAAGGGUUGCGCUCGUUGCGGGACUUAACCCAACACCUCACGGCACGAGCUGACGACAGCCAUGCAGCACCUGUGCAGCAGUCCCGAAGGAAAGGCCUAUUUCUAGACCGGUCUACUGCAUGUCAAGUCUGGGUAAGGUUCUUCGCGUUGCAUCGAAUUAAACCACAUGCUCCACUGCUUGUGCGGGUCCCCGUCAAUUCUUUUGAGUUUCAGCCUUGCGACUGUACUCCCCAGGCGGUAUACUUAACGCGUUAGCUACGGCACAACUAGGGUUGAGUCCAGUUACACCAAGUAUACAUAGUUUACGGCAAGGACUAC
This 377-nucleotide unclassified non-coding RNA is filed under the name uncultured Parachlamydiaceae bacterium. RNAcentral describes it as "contains 16S-23S intergenic spacer region". The record is from RNAcentral. Lineage: Bacteria; Pseudomonadati; Chlamydiota; Chlamydiia; Parachlamydiales; Parachlamydiaceae.